This 240-nucleotide ribosomal RNA is filed under the name uncultured bacterium. Its description in RNAcentral is "partial 16S ribosomal RNA". It matches the Rfam family "Bacterial small subunit ribosomal RNA", at positions 95 to 334 of the family's 1533-position model. The record is from RNAcentral.
CCGGCGCACGGGUGAGUAACGCGUAUGCAACUUACCUAUCAGAGGGGGAUAACCCGGCGAAAGUCGGACUAAUACCGCAUGAAGCAGGGGUCCCGCAUGGGGAUAUUUGCUAAAGAUUCAUCGCUGAUAGAUAGGCAUGCGUUCCAUUAGGCAGUUGGCGGGGUAACGGCCCACCAAACCGACGAUGGAUAGGGGUUCUGAGAGGAAGGUCCCCCACAUUGGAACUGAGACACGGUCCAA